Molecule: transfer RNA, 99 nt
Filed under: Rhizoctonia solani AG-1 IB
Lineage: Eukaryota; Fungi; Basidiomycota; Agaricomycetes; Cantharellales; Ceratobasidiaceae
Rfam family: tRNA
About the family: Transfer RNA (tRNA) molecules are approximately 80 nucleotides in length.
Source: Rfam by way of RNAcentral
ACGCCGUUGGUGAAAUGGUUAUCAUGCUUGCCUUCCAUUCUGGGCCCAUGGUUGCACAGCCACAAGCAAGCGGCGGGGGUUCGAUUCCCUCACGGCGUA